AUAUUCUGCCCCUUGGGUAAGGUUGAGAAGCUUCGACUAAGGUUCGACUCGAGCGCCAGCGAGAGAACGUUGCCGCAGGCAACGGCCCGAAGGGCGAGGCGCUUUAGCGCCGAGUAAUCCUUCCCCCACCACCA
Molecule: small RNA, 134 nt
Filed under: Klebsiella pneumoniae
Lineage: Bacteria; Pseudomonadati; Pseudomonadota; Gammaproteobacteria; Enterobacterales; Enterobacteriaceae
Description: RtT sRNA
Rfam family: RtT RNA
About the family: This family represents a bacterial cis-regulatory element known as RtT RNA.
Source: RNAcentral